This 484-nucleotide ribosomal RNA is filed under the name uncultured bacterium. RNAcentral's name for it is "partial 16S ribosomal RNA". It matches the Rfam family "Bacterial small subunit ribosomal RNA", at positions 30 to 507 of the family's 1533-position model. The record is from RNAcentral.
AUUGAACGCUGGCGGCAGGCCUAACACAUGCAAGUCGAGCGGAUGAAGGGAGCUUGCUCUUGGAUUCAGCGGCGGACGGGUGGGUAAUGCCUAGGAAUCUGCCUUAUAGUUGGGGAUAACGUCACGACACGGGCGCUAAUCCCGCAUCCGACCUGAGGGAGAAAGGGGGGGAUCUUCGGACAACACGCUAUCUGCUGAGCCUAGGUCGGAUUAGCUAGUUGGUGGGGUAAAGGCCUACCAAGGCGACGAUCCGUAACUGGUCUGAGAGGAUGAUCAGUCACACUGGAACUGAGACACGGUCCAGACUCCUACGGGAGGCAGCAGUAGGGAAUAUUCGGCAAUGGGCGAAAGCCUGAUCCAGCCAUGCCGCGUGUGUGAAGAAGGUCUUCGGAUUGUAAAGCACUGUAAGUUGGGAGGAAGAGCAGUAAGUUAAUACCUGGCUGUUUUGACGUUACCUACAGAAUAAGCACCGGCUAACUACGUG